This is a non-coding RNA of Diatrype stigma, 116 nucleotides long. The record is from the annotation of a GenBank genome assembly. Lineage: Eukaryota; Fungi; Ascomycota; Sordariomycetes; Xylariales; Diatrypaceae.
AGUCGCUUCGUCUAGUGGUUAGGAUGUGUGCUUUACACGAUUAUAGUAUUCUUACUAUGCGAGUUUUCUCAAAAUCUGUACGCACAAGAUCGCCGGUUCGAACCCGGCAGCGACUA